RNAcentral lists this ribosomal RNA (465 nucleotides) under Vreelandella stevensii. Its description in RNAcentral is "partial 16S ribosomal RNA". It matches the Rfam family "Bacterial small subunit ribosomal RNA", at positions 338 to 795 of the family's 1533-position model. Lineage: Bacteria; Pseudomonadati; Pseudomonadota; Gammaproteobacteria; Oceanospirillales; Halomonadaceae. The record is from RNAcentral.
CCUACGGGGGGCAGCAGUGGGGAAUAUUGGACAAUGGGCGAAAGCCUGAUCCAGCCAUGCCGCGUGUGUGAAGAAGGCCUUCGGGUUGUAAAGCACUUUCAGUGGGGAAGAAAGCCUUGGGGCUAAUACCCUCGAGGAAGGACAUCACCCACAGAAGAAGCACCGGCUAACUCCGUGCCAGCAGCCGCGGUAAUACGGAGGGUGCGAGCGUUAAUCGGAAUUACUGGGCGUAAAGCGCGCGUAGGCGGUCUGAUAAGCCGGUUGUGAAAGCCCCGGGCUCAACCUGGGAACGGCAUCCGGAACUGUCAGUCUAGAGUGCAGGAGAGGAAGGUAGAAUUCCCGGUGUAGCAGUGAAAUGCGUAGAGAUCGGGAGGAAUACCAGUGGCGAAGGCGGCCUUCUGGACUGACACUGACGCUGAGGUGCGAAAGCGUGGGUAGCAAACAGGAUUAGAUACCCGUGUAGUC